This 483-nucleotide ribosomal RNA is filed under the name uncultured bacterium. RNAcentral describes it as "partial 16S ribosomal RNA". It matches the Rfam family "Bacterial small subunit ribosomal RNA", at positions 30 to 506 of the family's 1533-position model. The record is from RNAcentral.
AUUGAACGCUGGCGGCAGGCCUAACACAUGCAAGUCGAGCGGAUGAAGGGAGCUUGCUCCUGGAUUCAGCGGCGGACGGGUGAGUAAUGCCUAGGAAUCUGCCUGGUAGUGGGGGAUAACGUCCGGAAACGGGCGCUAAUACCGCAUACGUCCUGAGGGAGAAAGUGGGGGAUCUUCGGACCUCACGCUAUCAGAUGAGCCUAGGUCGGAUUAGCUAGUUGGUGGGGUAAAGGCCUACCAAGGCGACGAUCCGUAACUGGUCUGAGAGGAUGAUCAGUCACACUGGAACUGAGACGCGGUCCAGACUCCUACGGGAGGCAGCAGUGGGGAAUAUUGGACAAUGGGCGAAAGCCUGAUCCAGCCAUGCCGCGUGUGUGAAGAAGGUCUUCGGAUUGUAAAGCACUUUAAGUUGGGAGGAAGGGCAGUAAGUUAAUACCUGGCUGUUUGGACGUUACCAACAGAAUAAGCACCGGCUAACUUCGU